Molecule: ribosomal RNA, 304 nt
Filed under: uncultured bacterium
Lineage: Bacteria
Description: partial 16S ribosomal RNA
Rfam family: Bacterial small subunit ribosomal RNA
Source: RNAcentral
CAGCAGUCGCCGCGGGAAUACGAAGGGUGCAAGCGUUAAUCGGAAUUACUGGGCGUAAAGCGUGCGUAGGCGGUUUGUUAAGUCUGCUGUGAAAUCCCCGGGCUCAACCUGGGAAUGGCAGUGGAUACUGGCAAGCUAGAGUGUGUCAGAGGAUGGUGGAAUUCCCGGUGUAGCGGUGAAAUGCGUAGAGAUCGGGAGGAACAUCAGUGGCGAAGGCGGCCAUCUGGGACAACACUGACGCUGAGGCACGAAAGCGUGGGGAGCAAACAGGAUUAGAGACCCCCGUAGUCCCUGUCUCUUAUAC